AGAGUUUGAUCCUGGCUCAGGAUGAACGCUGGCGGCGUGCUUAACACAUGCAAGUCGAACGAAGCACUCUAUUUGAUUUUCUUCGGAAAUGAAGAUUUUGUGACUGAGUGGCGGACGGGUGAGUAACGCGUGGGUAACCUGCCUCAUACAGGGGGAUAACAGUUGGAAACGACUGCUAAUACCGCAUAAGCGCACAGGAUCGCAUGAUCCGGUGUGAAAAACUCCGGUGGUAUGGGAUGGACCCGCGUCUGAUUAGCCAGUUGGCAGGGUAACGGCCUACCAAAGCGACGAUCAGUAGCCGACCUGAGAGGGUGACCGGCCACAUUGGGACUGAGACACGGCCCAAACUCCUACGGGAGGCAGCAGUGGGGAAUAUUGCACAAUGGGGGAAACCCUGAUGCAGCGACGCCGCGUGAGCGAAGAAGUAUUUCGGUAUGUAAAGCUCUAUCAGCAGGGAAGAAGAAUGACGGUACCUGACUAAGAAGCACCGGCUAAAUACGUGCCAGCAGCCGCGGUAAUACGUAUGGUGCAAGCGUUAUCCGGAUUUACUGGGUGUAAAGGGAGCGCAGGCGGUGCGGCAAGUCUGAUGUGAAAGCCCGGGGCUCAACCCCGGUACUGCAUUGGAAACUGUCGUACUAGAGUGUCGGAGGGGUAAGUGGAAUUCCUAGUGUAGCGGUGAAAUGCGUAGAUAUUAGGAGGAACACCAGUGGCGAAGGCGGCUUACUGGACGAUAACUGACGCUGAGGCUCGAAAGCGUGGGGAGCAAACAGGAUUAGAUACCCUGGUAGUCCACGCCAUAAACGAUGAAUACUAGGGGGCGGGGAACAUUGGUCUUCGGGGCCGCAGCAAACGCAAUA
RNAcentral lists this ribosomal RNA (857 nucleotides) under uncultured bacterium. RNAcentral describes it as "bacterial SSU rRNA". It matches the Rfam family "Bacterial small subunit ribosomal RNA", at positions 8 to 862 of the family's 1533-position model. The record is from RNAcentral.